ACUCUUACCUGGCAAGGGAGAUGCCAGGGUCAUGAAGGUGGUUUUCCUGGGGCACUGUGGAUGUGCUAUCCCCCAUGACUUCUCCAUAAUUGGGAAACUCAGCUGCAUAAUUUGUGGUAGCAAAGGACUGAGUUUGCAUUCUUCCC
Oryctolagus cuniculus (rabbit) is the source of this 146-nucleotide small nuclear RNA. Its record names the gene U1. It matches the Rfam family "U1 spliceosomal RNA". Rfam says of the family: U1 is a small nuclear RNA (snRNA) component of the spliceosome (involved in pre-mRNA splicing). Its 5' end forms complementary base pairs with the 5' splice junction, thus defining the 5' donor site of an intron. The record is from Ensembl. Lineage: Eukaryota; Metazoa; Chordata; Mammalia; Lagomorpha; Leporidae.